Molecule: ribosomal RNA, 319 nt
Filed under: uncultured eukaryote
Lineage: Eukaryota
Description: partial 18S ribosomal RNA
Rfam family: Eukaryotic small subunit ribosomal RNA
Source: RNAcentral
CCCUUAGAUGUUCUGGGCAGCACGCGCGCUACAAUGGUCUUCGCAAACGGAUGCAUUCUCGAAGGAGAAUGCCAAUCUUGGAAUCUAUGCCUUGGUCGGGACAGUUGCUUGCAAUUUUUCGACUCGAACCAGGAAUUCCUUGUAAUCGUGAUUCAUCACAUCACGAUGAAUACGUCCCUGCCCUUUGUACACACCGCCCGUCGCCCCUACCGAUCGAAGAGUUAGGUGAAUUGUUUUGAUCGAUAAGAUUUGACUAUGGUCAACUCUCGUUGUGAAAUUCUGUGAAUCUGACUGUUUAGAGGAAGGAAAAGUCGUAACA